CUAAGCCAUGCGAGUCAUUGUAGCAAUACAAGGGCAGACGGCUCAGUAACGCGUAGUCAAUCUACCCUAUGGACGGGAAUAACCUCGGGAAACCGAGAAUAAUGCCCGAUAGAACAUUAUGCCUGGAAUGGUUUAUGUUUCAAAUGAUUUAUCGCCAUAGGAUGGGACUGCGGCCUAUCAGUUUGUUGGUGAGGUAAUGGCCCACCAAGACUAUUACAGGUACGGGCUCUGAGAGGAGUAGCCCGGAGAUGGGUACUGAGACACGGACCCAGGCCCUAUGGGGCGCAGCAGGCGAGAAAACUUUGCAAUGUGCGAAAGCACGACAAGGUUAAUCCGAGUGGUUUCUGCUAAAGAAACCUUUUGUCAGUCCUAGAAACACUAACGAAUAAGGGGUGGGCAAGUUCUGGUGUCAGCCGCCGCGGUAAAACCAGCACCUCAAGUGGUCAGGAUGAUUAUUGGGCCUAAAGCAUCCGUAGCUCGUUUUGUAAGUUUUCGGUUAAAUCCAUGCGCUUAACGUAUGGGCUGCCGGGAAUACUGCAUAACUAGGAAGUGGGAGAGGUAGACGGUACUCGGUAGGAAGGGGUAAAAUCCUUUGAUCUAUUGAUGACCACCUGUGGCGAAGGCGGUCUACCAGAACACGUUCGACGGUGAGGGAUGAAAGCUGGGGGAGCAAACCGGAUUAGAUACCCGGGUAGUCCCAGCUGUAAACUAUGCAAACUCAGUGAUGCAUUGGCUUGUGGCCAAUGCAGUGCUGCAGGGAAGCCGUUAAGUUUGCCGCCUGGGAAGUACGUACGCAAGUAUGAAACUUAAAGGAAUUGGCGGGGGAGCACCACAAGGGGUGAAGCCUGCGGUUCAAUUGGAGUCAACGCCAGAAAUCUUACCCGGAGAGACAGCAGAAUGAAGGUCAAGCUGAAGACUUUACCAGACAAGCUGAGGAGGUGGUGCAUGGCCAAUCU
Molecule: ribosomal RNA, 956 nt
Filed under: uncultured archaeon
Lineage: Archaea
Description: bacterial SSU rRNA
Rfam family: Archaeal small subunit ribosomal RNA
Source: RNAcentral